UAUAUGAAAUAUUCCAAAAGGAAUGUUUCAUAAGUUAACCUUCCAGAAUUCUAAUUUCAGAUUUUCUGAGUGAUAACCUUUCUUUUCUACCCAUAAGAAAAAAAAAAACUCCAUAGGUAGCAUAGUGUAGUGUUUCCCAACACUUGAUUUCUUUUAGUGACACAUAUAAAUUCUUACGUUUCUGUGAAAUUGUACCUUGUACCAUGAAAUGGGUACCAAUCGAGAGGCUUUGUAUUCAAAAGCUCAGUCCUUGAAAUUAAUACGGCUUACUGGUAAUGAAGAAAAUCUGAAGGAAAAACAGGAUGCAUGGACAAGAAUAACUCCUUUUACUGAUUCUUUAUAUUUGAUUGCAGGUCACCUGGAUUCUUCAGGACUUCAGGAAGUGCAUUUAGCUGGGAUGAAUCAUGACCAGCACCUAAUGAAAUGUAGCCCAGUGAGUAGCCUCUCUUUUUUUGGGUUUUGUUUUGCUUUUCAGGUGGGAGGCAGAGGGUUUCCAUUGCACCUGUGGCUUGAGGAUGCUGGACGUUCUCAGCAAA
Molecule: long non-coding RNA, 536 nt
Filed under: Homo sapiens (human)
Lineage: Eukaryota; Metazoa; Chordata; Mammalia; Primates; Hominidae
Description: non-protein coding lnc-GFRA3-1:4
Source: RNAcentral